Molecule: ribosomal RNA, 254 nt
Filed under: uncultured bacterium
Lineage: Bacteria
Description: partial 16S ribosomal RNA
Rfam family: Bacterial small subunit ribosomal RNA
Source: RNAcentral
UACGUAGGGUGCGAGCGUUGUCCGGAAUUAUUGGGCGUAAAGAGCUCGUAGGCGGCUUAGCAAGUCGGGUGUGAAAACUCCAGGCUCAACCUGGAGACGCCACUCGAGACUGCUAUGGCUAGAGUCCGGUAGGGGACCACGGAAUUCCUGGUGUAGCGGUGAAAUGCGCAGAUAUCGGGAAGAACACCCGUGGCGAAGGCGGUUCUCUGGGACGGUACUGACGCUGAGACGCGAAAGCGUGGGGAGCGAACAGG